Molecule: ribosomal RNA, 255 nt
Filed under: uncultured bacterium
Lineage: Bacteria
Description: partial 16S ribosomal RNA
Rfam family: Bacterial small subunit ribosomal RNA
Source: RNAcentral
UACGAAGGGGGGCUAGCGUUGCUCGGAAUUACUGGGCGUAAAAGGGCGCGUAGGCGGGUCGUUAAGUUGGGGGGUGAAAGCCCAGGGCUCAACCCUGGAAUUGCCUUCAAUACUGGCGACCUUGAGUAUGGCAGAGGUGUGUGGAACUCCGAGUGUAGAGGUGAAAUUCGUAGAUAUUCGGAAGAACACCAGUGGCGAAGGCGACACACUGGGCCAUUACUGACGCUGAGGCGCGAAACGUAGGGAGCAAACAGG